UAUACGACUCUCGGCAACGGAUAUCUCGGCUCUCGCAUCGAUGAAGAACGUAGCGAAAUGCGAUACUUGGUGUGAAUUGCAGAAUCCCGUGAACCAUCGAGUCUUUGAACGCAAGUUGCGCCCGAGGCCUUUCGGCUGAGGGCACGCCUGCCUGGGCGUCACGC
This 164-nucleotide ribosomal RNA is filed under the name Lilium bulbiferum. RNAcentral describes it as "5.8S ribosomal RNA". It matches the Rfam family "5.8S ribosomal RNA". From Rfam's summary of the family: 5.8S ribosomal RNA (5.8S rRNA) is a component of the large subunit of the eukaryotic ribosome. Lineage: Eukaryota; Viridiplantae; Streptophyta; Magnoliopsida; Liliales; Liliaceae. The record is from RNAcentral.